Molecule: long non-coding RNA, 248 nt
Filed under: Elaeis guineensis (African oil palm)
Lineage: Eukaryota; Viridiplantae; Streptophyta; Magnoliopsida; Arecales; Arecaceae
Description: long non-coding RNA (EGUI_LNC029156)
Source: RNAcentral
UGGAGAGGAUGGUCUACUACGGAAUAGUAACAAAAAUGUCACCAACUUUGGUCCACUACAAAGAAACACAUGGGACUCCAUGUACCAAUCAGUGGCAUGAUAGGUUCCAAGUUUAAUUGACGCUCUAGAACACAUUGGCAAGUUACAAGCUGUAGACUGUGGAAGCGUCGGACCAAUUUCGGAAUCACUGGCUCCUAGUUGAAGCCAGUAACAGGUUGGAGUUUACAAACUCCAUGAUUCAUGCUACC